RNAcentral lists this ribosomal RNA (214 nucleotides) under uncultured fungus. RNAcentral describes it as "partial small subunit ribosomal RNA". It matches the Rfam family "Eukaryotic small subunit ribosomal RNA", at positions 631 to 864 of the family's 1831-position model. The record is from RNAcentral. Lineage: Eukaryota; Fungi.
GGUAUUUGUUACUAGCUGGUCUUUAUGGCCAUGUUGGUUAACAGAUCCUCAUCAUUUGGACAACUCUUGAUGAUCUUUAUCGAUUGUCAUUUGUUACCAAAACGUUUACUUUGAGAAAAUUAGAGUGCUAAAAGCAGGCUCACGCCUAUAUAUAUUGCAUGGAAUAAUGAAAUAAGAUCUCGAUUUUAUUUCGUUGGUUUUAGAAAUUGAGAUA